RNAcentral lists this ribosomal RNA (465 nucleotides) under uncultured bacterium. Its description in RNAcentral is "partial 16S ribosomal RNA". It matches the Rfam family "Bacterial small subunit ribosomal RNA", at positions 28 to 507 of the family's 1533-position model. The record is from RNAcentral.
GACGAACGCUGGCGGCGUGCUUAACACAUGCGAGUCGAACGGAAAGGCCCCUUCGGGGGUACUCGAGUGGCGAACAGGUGAGUAACACGUGAGUAACCUGCCCUUGACUUCGGGAUAACUUCAGGAAACUGGGGCUAAUACCGGAUAGGAAUCCUUGCUGCAUGGUGGGGGUUGGAAAGCUUCGGCGGCUUUGGAUGGACUCGCGGCUUAUCAGCUUGUUGGUGGGGUAGUGGCUUACCAAGGCUUUGACGGGUAGCCGGCCUGAGAGGGCGACCGGCCACAUUGGGACUGAGAUACGGCCCAGACUCCUACGGGAGGCAGCAGUGGGGAAUAUUGCACAAUGGGCGGAAGCCUGAUGCAGCAACGCCGCGUGCGGGAUGACGGCCUUCGGGUUGUAAACCGCUUUCAGCAGGGGCGAAGCUUGUGGUGACGGUACCUGCAGAAGAAGCACCGGCUAACUACGUG